UGGUCGUUUGUUAUCUGGUCUCUUGUGCCCC
This 31-nucleotide non-coding RNA is filed under the name Rattus norvegicus (Norway rat). Lineage: Eukaryota; Metazoa; Chordata; Mammalia; Rodentia; Muridae. The record is from RNAcentral.